CUGAACGCCUCUAAGUCAGAAUCCAUGCUGGAAGCGAUACUACUGCACUUUGAUGUAUAGAUGUGUACAAAUAAACCUUUUGGUUGAAAACCUUACUUGCGGGAUAGGGAUCAUGGCGGAAAAGCUGUGGUUUACUACCCUGUGAUGAUAAUGCUAACGAUCAAAGUGAUAAAUCGCACGCAGACGACGUGAAAUGGACGGGGUAUUGUAAGUACUAGAGUAGCCUUUGUUGCUACGAUGUACUGAGAUUAAGCCCUUGUCAUUGAAUUUGUUCCUGUAAAG
Molecule: ribosomal RNA, 282 nt
Filed under: Rhizopus microsporus var. oligosporus
Lineage: Eukaryota; Fungi; Mucoromycota; Mucoromycetes; Mucorales; Rhizopodaceae
Description: partial 28S ribosomal RNA
Rfam family: Eukaryotic large subunit ribosomal RNA
Source: RNAcentral